AUGUGUGCGUGUGAGGUGGAAUGGACCACAGUGAAAGGAAUGGCUCCUAUUUAUAGUGGGGUUAGUAGCUAUGUCGGUUUGGAGAGGCAUUACAUCUGGCAUGCAUGCGUGGUUAGGCUUGCAUGCAUGCCUCCACUUGUGUCUCUUGUAGGCUGUACUAGGGACAAGUGUAAUUUGCUUGACUGGCCAUUAGUUGGCAUUUACUUUAUGUGGAAAAAAAUGAGACCAAGAUCUGAUUAUAAAUUUGUAGAAUAUAUGGAGGUUUGGAAAAUAUUUUGUUGUGCAUGGUCAAAUGCUAUUUGCUAUAAUAAAAAUUAA
Molecule: ribosomal RNA, 318 nt
Filed under: Triticum aestivum (bread wheat)
Lineage: Eukaryota; Viridiplantae; Streptophyta; Magnoliopsida; Poales; Poaceae
Description: partial small subunit ribosomal RNA
Source: RNAcentral